CUUUUUUAUAUUAAUGCACGCCAUUGCCAAAUGAAUUGCUACAAAUCUAAUGAAAACUGUCAGCUCAACACAUCUCUCUCUGGAUUUGUCAGCAUGGCUAUGUUCAGAAAAUGGUGGCGUCCGGCGACUUUUGCGCACAAA
Molecule: long non-coding RNA, 141 nt
Organism: Etheostoma cragini (Arkansas darter)
Lineage: Eukaryota; Metazoa; Chordata; Actinopteri; Perciformes; Percidae
Exons: 3
Source: RefSeq, a predicted model, not a curated record